Molecule: small RNA, 127 nt
Filed under: Marmota monax (woodchuck)
Lineage: Eukaryota; Metazoa; Chordata; Mammalia; Rodentia; Sciuridae
Source: RNAcentral
GCUGGGCAUGGUGGCGCAUGCCUGUAAUCCCAGCAGCUCAGGAGGCUGAGGCAGGAGGCUCUUGACUUCAAAGCCAGGCUCAGCAAUUUAGGUAGGCCCUAAGCAAGUCAGUGAGACCCUGUCUCUA